This is a long non-coding RNA of Vidua chalybeata, 483 nucleotides long. RefSeq lists it as uncharacterized. Lineage: Eukaryota; Metazoa; Chordata; Aves; Passeriformes; Viduidae. The record is from RefSeq and is a predicted model, not a curated record. The transcript has 3 exons.
GGAGCGCCGGGCCCGGCCGGGGCGGCCGCCUGCAGCAUCGCUCCGACGGGGAAAGGCUGGGGCGGCUCAGCCUCGGGAAGGGACAUCACCAUAAAUAUCUAAAGAGGGUGUCAGAGCAUGGAGCCGGGCUCUGCUCGGUGAUGCCAAGCCACAGGACAAGAGGAAACGGGCAGAAACUGAUGCCCAGGAAGUUGCACCUGAAUAUGGGUUUUCCUUGUGAAUGUGCUUUUAAUGUUCAUGGGCUUGUUGCAGUGCUGCCAACAGUGUUAAAAAUAACAGACCAAGACUGACCUGUCGGAUUCGUGUUUUCAAUCUGAUCUUACGGCUUUGAUGACAGAAAAGCAGCGUUUUCAUUGUAAAAGUAGAUUUCUGAUUCUGCAGUGAUCAGUUUAAAAAGAGGCAUGAAGAAGAUAAGCAGGACCUGCAUUAAAUUUUGGGAGCUGGUAAAAAGACUUUCUGUUUCUGUUUGCAGAGUAAAAAACU